UGGGGAAUAUUGCCCAAUGGGCGCAAGCCUGAUGCAGCCAUGCCGCGUGUGUGAAGAAGGCCUUCGGGUUGUAAAGCACUUUCAGCGAGGAGGAAGGGUAGUGUGUUAAUAGCACAUUGCAUUGACGUUACUCGCAGAAGAAGCACCGGCUAACUCCGUGCCAGCAGCCGCGGUAAUACGGAGGGUGCAAGCGUUAAUCGGAAUUACUGGGCGUAAAGCGCACGCAGGCGGUUUGUUAAGUCAGAUGUGAAAUCCCCGCGCUUAACGUGGGAACUGCAUUUGAAACUGGCAAGCUAGAGUCUUGUAGAGGGGGGUAGAAUUCCAGGUGUAGCGGUGAAAUGCGUAGAGAUCUGGAGGAAUACCGGUGGCGAAGGCGGCCCCCUGGACAAAGACUGACGCUCAGGUGCGAAAGCGUGGGGAGCAAACA
Molecule: ribosomal RNA, 427 nt
Filed under: uncultured bacterium
Lineage: Bacteria
Description: partial 16S ribosomal RNA
Rfam family: Bacterial small subunit ribosomal RNA
Source: RNAcentral